This 297-nucleotide unclassified non-coding RNA is filed under the name Hevea brasiliensis (rubber tree). Lineage: Eukaryota; Viridiplantae; Streptophyta; Magnoliopsida; Malpighiales; Euphorbiaceae. The record is from RNAcentral.
AUUUUCACUUGCUGGUACCUCAAAAAGAAAUCCCCCAAAUCCUGUUUUGCCCACCGAAGCUGCAAAUUCUGGUCAAGGACACAGCAGCAAAAUUGGUCCUUCAAGUAGCUGGAUUUCAUCAUUGCAACGCAUUCAUUCUGCGAAGUGAUUAGCUUGCUACGAUCUGGUCAAGAAGAUUCUAGUGAUACAUCUAUUGGAGGCAGCAAAACCUACGGUGACUAGCGUCAUGCUUUCAGCUGUUUAUCUGUUAAGAAGUUCCAGUGAUGCAUUUAAGGGGCUCCAAUGUGCUUUGCUCCU